Long non-coding RNA from Esox lucius (northern pike), 892 nucleotides. NCBI's taxonomy places the organism in Eukaryota, Metazoa, Chordata, Actinopteri, Esociformes, Esocidae. The record is from Ensembl.
GUGUAGAUUCACGAUAAGCGGUGAGCCUAGCGAACGUUUGCUAUCUGGCUGCCGUCCAUUCACUGACUUUCUGUGCUUGGGAUAUCGUUAGCUGUCUUCAUAAGCUACCUAAUUCCUCUUGUAUGUGGGACUGGGAGAGACAAGAACGCAUCAGGCAUUUGGACCAGACAAAAGAGCAGGCUCUAAAGUUGGAACCUCCCCACUGUCAUCAGCAGCAGAUGUCACAAAGUGCUUUUCCAAAACACCCCAAGGAGCAAACAACCGUAGUGUUGAAUUUCAGUGGCUAGGAAAAAGGGAAACCCACCAACCGCAACCACCCUGAAUGAGGACUGAGUAUUGCCAGCAGAGUACAGCCCAAUUGCACAAGUGCGCAACAGAGAGACAACAACAAGCCAGUGACUCCUCCCCCGAGAGGCAUUGGAGGGAGGGCAUCCCAGUGGCGACGAGAGCCCACCUGGCAAGACAGCAAGGGUGGACAGUAUCAAGCUUUUCUGGUCACCUUCACGCCCCUGGGCCAGACUACACCUAAUUAUAAACAGUGCUGUAGAGAUGAGUCUUUAGUAGACACUUGAACGUUUGCACUGAGUUUGCAUUUCUAACCUUAAUUGGCAAAUCAUUUCCCAGUAGUGGAGCUCUAUGAGAAAAGGCCCUGCCUCCGGCUGUUUGUUUAGAGAUUCUUGGUACAAUUAAAAGGCCUGCAUCUUGCGAUCGUAGGUCACGUGUAGGUAUGUAUGGCUGGAUCAUUUCAGCGAGGUAAGUAGGAGCAAGUCCAUGUAUUGAUUCAUAGGUAAACAAUAAAACCUUAAAAUCAGCCCUAACCCUAACAGGCAGCCAGUGUAAAGAGGAGUAAUGUGUUCAAAUGUUUUUGUUCUAGUUAGGAUUCUAGCAGCCG